This 319-nucleotide unclassified non-coding RNA is filed under the name Ceratobasidiaceae sp. RNAcentral describes it as "partial contains 5.8S ribosomal RNA, internal transcribed spacer 2, and large subunit ribosomal RNA". The record is from RNAcentral. Lineage: Eukaryota; Fungi; Basidiomycota; Agaricomycetes; Cantharellales; Ceratobasidiaceae.
CGCACCUUGCGCUCCUUGGUAUUCCUUGGAGCAUGCCUGUUUGAGUAUCAUGAAAUUCUCAGAGUAAAUCUUUUGUUCGUUCAAUCGACUUUGCUUCUGGACUUGGGGGUCUGCAGAUGCAAAUCUGCUCCUCUUAAAUGCAUUAGCUGGAUCUCAGUGAGCCUGGUUCCACUCGGCGUGAUAAGUAUCAUUCGCUGAGGACACCCCCUCAAAAGGGUGGCCAGGAGUGCAGAUGAACCGCUUCUAAUAGUCUAUUGAAUUAGACAAACAAAUUUUAAGAUCUGAUCUCAAAUCAGGUAGGACUACCCGCUGAACUUAA